UACGGGAGGCAGCAGUGGGGAAUAUUGCACAAUGGGCGCAAGCCUGAUGCAGCCAUGCCGCGUGUAUGAAGAAGGCCUUCGGGUUGUAAAGUACUUUCAGUCGUGAGGAAGGUGUUAAGGUUAAUAACCUUAGCAAUUGACGUUAGCGACAGAAGAAGCACCGGCUAACUCCGUGCCAGCAGCCGCGGUAAUACGGAGGGUGCGAGCGUUAAUCGGAAUUACUGGGCGUAAAGGGCACGCAGGCGGUUAAUUAAGUUGGAUGUGAAAUCCCCGGGCUUAACCUGGGAAUGGCAUUCAAGACUGGUUAGCUAGAGUCUUGUAGAGGGGGUAGAAUUCCGAUGUGUAGCGGUGAAAUGCGUAGAGAUGUGGAGGAAUACCGGUGGCGAAGGCGGCCCCUGGGACAAAGACUGACGCUCAUGUGCGAAAGCGUGGGGAGCAAACAGGGAUUAGAUA
This 453-nucleotide ribosomal RNA is filed under the name uncultured bacterium. RNAcentral's name for it is "bacterial SSU rRNA". It matches the Rfam family "Bacterial small subunit ribosomal RNA", at positions 340 to 784 of the family's 1533-position model. The record is from RNAcentral.